RNAcentral lists this ribosomal RNA (788 nucleotides) under Bacillus pseudomycoides. RNAcentral's name for it is "bacterial SSU rRNA". It matches the Rfam family "Bacterial small subunit ribosomal RNA", at positions 48 to 815 of the family's 1533-position model. Lineage: Bacteria; Bacillati; Bacillota; Bacilli; Caryophanales; Bacillaceae. The record is from RNAcentral.
GCUAUACAUGCAGUCGAGCGAAUGGAUUAAGAGCUUGCUCUUAUGAAGUUAGCGGCGGACGGGUGAGUAACACGUGGGUAACCUGCCCAUAAGACUGGGAUAACUCCGGGAAACCGGGGCUAAUACCGGAUAACAUUUUGAACCGCAUGGUUCGAAAUUGAAAGGCGGCUUCGGCUGUCACUUAUGGAUGGACCCGCGUCGCAUUAGCUAGUUGGUGAGGUAACGGCUCACCAAGGCAACGAUGCGUAGCCGACCUGAGAGGGUGAUCGGCCACACUGGGACUGAGACACGGCCCAGACUCCUACGGGAGGCAGCAGUAGGGAAUCUUCCGCAAUGGACGAAAGUCUGACGGAGCAACGCCGCGUGAGUGAUGAAGGCUUUCGGGUCGUAAAACUCUGUUGUUAGGGAAGAACAAGUGCUAGUUGAAUAAGCUGGCACCUUGACGGUACCUAACCAGAAAGCCACGGCUAACUACGUGCCAGCAGCCGCGGUAAUACGUAGGUGGCAAGCGUUAUCCGGAAUUAUUGGGCGUAAAGCGCGCGCAGGUGGUUUCUUAAGUCUGAUGUGAAAGCCCACGGCUCAACCGUGGAGGGUCAUUGGAAACUGGGAGACUUGAGUGCAGAAGAGGAAAGUGGAAUUCCAUGUGUAGCGGUGAAAUGCGUAGAGAUAUGGAGGAACACCAGUGGCGAAGCGACUUUCUGGUCUGUAACUGACACUGAUGCGCGAAGAGCGUGCGGAGCAAGACAGGAUUAGAUACCCUGGUAGUCCACGCCAGUAAACGAUGGAGU